CGUGCGAUGGCCGAGUGGUCUAUGGCGGCGGGCUCAUAACUCGCUGGAGCAAUCCGCGUUGGUUCGAAUCCAACUCGCACGUCCA
RNAcentral lists this transfer RNA (85 nucleotides) under Brevundimonas phage vB_BgoS-Bajun. RNAcentral's name for it is "tRNA-Met". It matches the Rfam family "tRNA". Rfam says of the family: Transfer RNA (tRNA) molecules are approximately 80 nucleotides in length. Their secondary structure includes four short double-helical elements and three loops (D, anti-codon, and T loops). The record is from RNAcentral. Lineage: Duplodnaviria; Heunggongvirae; Uroviricota; Caudoviricetes.